GGUGGAUGAGUGGCGAACGGGUGAGUAACACGUGAGUAACCUGCCCCUGACUUCGGGAUAAGCCCGGGAAACUGGGUCUAAUACCGGAUACGACUGCCGGACGCAUGUCUGGUGGUGGAAAGUUUUUUCGGUUGGGGAUGGGCUCGCGGCCUAUCAGUUUGUUGGUGAGGUAAUGGCUCACCAAGACGACGACGGGUAGCCGGCCUGAGAGGGCGACCGGCCACACUGGGACUGAGACACGGCCCAGACUCCUACGGGAGGCAGCAGUGGGGAAUAUUGCACAAUGGGGGAAACCCUGAUGCAGCGACGCAGCGUGCGGGAUGACGGCCUUCGGGUUGUAAACCGCUUUCAGCAGGGAAGAAGCGCAAGUGACGGUACCUGCAGAAGAAGUACCGGCUAACUACGUGCCAGCAGCCGCGGUAAUACGUAGGGUACGAGCGUUGUCCGGAAUUAUUGGGCGUAAAGAGCUCGUAGGUGGUUGGUCACGUCUGCUGUGGAAACGCAACGCUUAACGUUGCGCGUGCAGUGGGUACGGGCUGACUAGAGUGCAGUAGGGGAGUCUGGAAUUCCUGGUGUAGCGGUGAAAUGCGCAGAUAUCAGGAGGAACACCGGUGGCGAAGGCGGGACUCUGGGCUGUAACUGACACUGAGGAGCGAAAGC
Molecule: ribosomal RNA, 660 nt
Filed under: Brevibacterium casei
Lineage: Bacteria; Bacillati; Actinomycetota; Actinomycetes; Micrococcales; Brevibacteriaceae
Description: bacterial SSU rRNA
Rfam family: Bacterial small subunit ribosomal RNA
Source: RNAcentral